This is a non-coding RNA of Camellia sinensis, 1207 nucleotides long. The record is from RefSeq and is a predicted model, not a curated record. Lineage: Eukaryota; Viridiplantae; Streptophyta; Magnoliopsida; Ericales; Theaceae.
AUCCAGGAGUCUUGAAGCAAAUCAAUUUUCUGGCAGUGUUCCUCCUGAACUCGGGAAACUAAGUAACUUGACAACUUUGUAAGACAUGUCAUUCCUUUGGAGCUCUUGUAGAUUUAAUUAUUUCUUUGUUUUUGUUAUUAAGACUAUAUUAGGUUUCUUUAACUGUUUGUGCGUCCGUGAAAGCAUGUAUUAAUAUGUACCAUGUGGAACUCAAUUUUUAUUUUUUUACGACAGGGAGGAGGUUUUUCAAGUUGGAUGAAAUCCAUAGAAUGAGACCAUAUUAGCUUCUUGUUGUCUUGGGAGGAGGCUUAUGGUGUGGGAUCUUCGCAGUGUAGUGAUAAGCUUGGUCUACGCUUAGAGCUGGGUUCCUUUGCUGCUGGAGUGAUGAUAUCAACUGAUCUUGCUCAGCAUACACUCAAACAAGAGAAUCAGUGACAUAAAUGGGAUGGCUCAGGAAUUUCCUACCUUGAGCAACACUACAGGGCUAGUAAGAUUGUAUGUUUGAUGAUUAUAUAAUUUAUAAUGUUCAAUAUUUAUAGUGUGUACAGGUGAGUUUCAUCCUGAGUUUAAUUUUAUUCAUUUUUUUCGUAUUUAGGGUUUUGAGAAACUGCAACAUGUCUGGUGAAAUCCCGAAAUAUAUUUGGAAAAUGAUGAAUCUGCAAAUGUUGCAAGUAAAGCAUGUUAAGCUUUGGUGAAUGAUUUUUAUUUGACCUUCAGUGUUUUCAUCAAUGUAUAAUUGAUUACACGACCAAUGCGAUUUAAUUUUCCAUCAUGUUAUUGUUAUUGCUGUUAGUUUUUUUCACUGUCAAGGCAUGAAAAGGACAAAUCACAGCUCAUUUAUAUGAUAGUGCUUAUUGAAUUUUGUUCACAAAUAGUAUAUAAUUUUUGAUCAUCAUGCAGGUGGAUUCUGUAGUUUACCUUGUUGACGCGUACGACAAAGAGAGAUUUGCAGAGGCUAAAAAGGAGUUGGAUGCUCUACAUAAAAAAGAGCAACAAUACUCAACCUUGUUAACACCAGAUGCUCUUUUUUUUUGAAAUUGAUGCUGAUUAUGUUAAAUUUUUGUUAGAAUGAAUUGUUUUUUGUUUUUUGGGGUUUAGAAUAGGGUUUUGUGAAUUGUUCCUUGUUUUUGGAAUCAAUGUUGUUGCUGCUGAGUUAUGUGCUGAAACUUGGAUGUAGAAAAUUUUAUAAUAAGACUUGUUUUGAUUA